GGGCUUUUAGCUCAGUGGUAGAGCGCGCGCUUCGCAUCCUUGAGGGUCUACACCUCGGAGCCUGCGUGAGGUCACCGGAUCGAUCCCGGUAAGGUCCA
RNAcentral lists this transfer RNA (98 nucleotides) under Chlamydomonas reinhardtii. It matches the Rfam family "tRNA". From Rfam's summary of the family: Transfer RNA (tRNA) molecules are approximately 80 nucleotides in length. Their secondary structure includes four short double-helical elements and three loops (D, anti-codon, and T loops). Lineage: Eukaryota; Viridiplantae; Chlorophyta; Chlorophyceae; Chlamydomonadales; Chlamydomonadaceae. The record is from Rfam by way of RNAcentral.